GAUGAACGCUGGCGGCGUGCUUAACACAUGCAAGUCGAACGGGAUCCAUCAGGCUUUGCUUGGUGGUGAGAGUGGCGAACGGGUGAGUAAUGCGUGACCGACCUGCCCCAUACACCGGAAUAGCUCCUGGAAACGGGUGGUAGUGCCGGAUGUUCCAGUUGAUCGCAUGGUCUUCUGGGAAAGCUUUCGCGGUAUGGGAUGGGGUCGCGUCCUAUCAGCUUGACGGCGGGGUAACGGCCCACCGUGGCUUCGACGGGUAGCCGGCCUGAGAGGGCGACCGGCCACAUUGGGACUGAGAUACGGCCCAGACUCCUACGGGAGGCAGCAGUGGGGAAUAUUGCACAAUGGGCGCAAGCCUGAUGCAGCGACGCCGCGUGAGGGAUGGAGGCCUUCGGGUUGUAAACCUCUUUUAUCGGGGAGCAAGCGAGAGUGAGUUUACCCGUUGAAUAAGCACCGGCUA
RNAcentral lists this ribosomal RNA (460 nucleotides) under uncultured bacterium. RNAcentral describes it as "bacterial SSU rRNA". It matches the Rfam family "Bacterial small subunit ribosomal RNA", at positions 28 to 499 of the family's 1533-position model. The record is from RNAcentral.